This 524-nucleotide long non-coding RNA is filed under the name Felis catus (domestic cat). RNAcentral's name for it is "lncRNA (ENSFCAG00000043593.2)". Lineage: Eukaryota; Metazoa; Chordata; Mammalia; Carnivora; Felidae. The record is from RNAcentral.
CUUGUUCUAGAUGAUUUCUUUGUGUUAACAAGAGGAAGCAAGUCCAUUGCCAAGAAAAGCUGCUAAGUUCCCAUAAAACCAGGAGAUGGUCCAUCCUCCUAAAAAGCAAACAAGUGGCCACCACAGCAGAUUGCUCCCUAAGUGUGCAGGAGACUGCUUUGUGAUGAAAAGGUGGUGAUGACCUGAAGAUGACAAAAGUGUGUUGGAGUUCCAUUGUAGAAUGGCCACCGUGGCAAGUCUACAGGAAAAGGUACAGGUUUCAGCUAAAGGAGAAAGGCUCACUGAUGGAAAGUUCUUUGGGCAUGGCAUCAGAUCAAGAACAGAUAGAGAAAUACUUCAUCCUGGCCACCGUAAGGACAAAUGAGCUUUUUGUGCCACAAGUAUGUAUCCAAUUCAUUCAUUUGUUCAUUCAUUCAUUUGUUCAUCUUCUUAGUACCAGGCACUCUUUUCUGGGCUAAAGAAUAUGUCAAAGAAGAAAGCAGGUAGGAAUUUGUGCCCUCAUAAAAUUUAUACUACAGUGGGAG